GGAUCAUGUUUGUUAAAUCUUUUAACCAGAUUUAUUUCUUCUUGCCUAGAGACCAUUAUGAUAAUGCAGCAGGGCCACCAGUCAGUUUCAGAUAAUGAUGUCAACCCCGGCCACCAAGAAGUAACCUUGUCUCCACUAGACAGAGCAGGUUGCAGGAAUUUAGCCAAUUCAGAGGUCUUGUUCUCCAUAAUUUGGAAUUUUCCUUCGGAUUUGAUCAAGUUGGAUAGAGUUGGUCAAACCCAAUGGGAAAAAGAUGAAAACAACAAGAAACAGAAACAAACAGCAACAACAACAACAACAAAAACAAGAGAAGGUGGUUCAGCCACUAAAUGGUGCUGGGACCUCGCAGUUUGGUGGGAAGGAGGAAGCUUACUCAAGCAAGGAAUAUGAGACAGGCAAAAACCCACGCAUAAGCCAA
This 418-nucleotide long non-coding RNA is filed under the name Homo sapiens (human). Its description in RNAcentral is "GARS1 divergent transcript". The record is from RNAcentral. Lineage: Eukaryota; Metazoa; Chordata; Mammalia; Primates; Hominidae.